AUGAAGAUCAACCAUCUCUGUUUGUUCCCAGAAUUGUGCUUCACUACUUCACCUAAUCCAAUCAUCGGUGGCCAAAUGGAUUUUAAUAUAACUGAGUUUUGCAAGACAAUAGUUGGGGCUACAUAUGCAAACUACUAUUAUCCAGAUACAACAACAGACAGCUUGCGCUGUGUGAGUAACUGCACCAAGGGCAGUGCGUAUGCUAUCAAUUGCUACCAUGGGGUUUGCCGCAUCUCUGACAAAGGCCCCAACUGCAACUGUAAUGACCGGAAUACCUUUUGGUAUGUAGACAAUAACUGCCAGACGCGUUUCCAGAAGAGUGAGGUGGGUCUUGGUAUUGGGAUGGCUGUCCUCUUCCUGAUUGCUAUCAUCUUGGCUGUCUUCCUCUUCAGAACCUAUCGGAGAAAGUCUGAGUCUAGAUACUCUGAUGGAGAUAACCUCAUUUAUGAAGACACUAAAGAGGAAGAAUGGCUACCCCCGUGGACCCUGAACUUCACAAAUGAGGCAGCUGACUUCCACAAUGGAAGCCAAAAUAUAAACAAUGGAUUCAAUCUUUCACUUGACUCAGUAGACACCUCAGUACAGGUACGUAUCACUGUCCUUUCCUCUUCGGUGGAAUUUACUGGAUAUCUUUAUUCCGGCAUCAAGCAACUGAUGCAUAACAUGUAA
Molecule: long non-coding RNA, 669 nt
Organism: Anolis carolinensis (green anole)
Lineage: Eukaryota; Metazoa; Chordata; Lepidosauria; Squamata; Anolidae
Source: Ensembl